AUGCCUCUUUGGACGUGCGAUGCGGAAAAACGUUGCGCAUCGGGACAGGCAUAUGAAAAGAUAGCUACGUCCCGUCAGGACCCCCGGCUUGGCCGGGCUAUAAAUAGCUCUGGCGCGGCCCAAGCGAGUCUCUUUGUACGGCCGGAAGGACACCUCUGUAUGUGUGUCUGCCUCUGUCUGUCGGCUGAGCUCCGGGGAGGUCCUGGGAGCGUGCCGCACACAGGGCCCUGAUCGCCGCGGGUGGUUCCACAGCACCGGCGGGAGGGGUUUUAAGAUGCCCGCUCGUGAGUUACUCUUGGGGGAAAGAAUGAGGUAUUUGGAGCCCCACGUGGGAGAAGUGCCCCUUUAUGGGGAUUUUGCUCUAACCUGAGAACUGGAAGCCUAAAGUCUGCUGAAGGUUGAGUCUACCAGUUGGACCUAGGAUGGCCAGAAUGCCUGGGUGAUGGCUCCUGCUGUUUGAAGUGGAGUGUGUCCUUGCCUUGGAUUUUGCUGAUACAAGGGAUGAUGUCCACCUGUUGCACAGGUCUUAGAAGAUUGCUGAUUUUCCUGAUUAACCUGUGAACACCAAGAUGAUGGAAAACUCCCUAGAACUCUGAAGUGCAGUGGUUACAGGGUAUGGUGGGGCUUUACCAAAAGAUGACAAUAAAAUAUUUUAAG
This is a long non-coding RNA of Perognathus longimembris pacificus (Pacific pocket mouse), 657 nucleotides long. RefSeq lists it as uncharacterized. The transcript is spliced from 5 exons. NCBI's taxonomy places the organism in Eukaryota, Metazoa, Chordata, Mammalia, Rodentia, Heteromyidae. The record is from RefSeq and is a predicted model, not a curated record.